UGGGAGGCUUUGAAGCGUGGACGCCAGUCUGCGUGGAGCCGACCUUGAAAUACCACCCUUUAAUGUUUGAUGUUCUAACGUGGAUCCGUAAUCCGGGUUGCGGACAGUGUCUGGUGGGUAGUUUGACUGGGGCGGUCUCCUCCUAAAGAGUAACGGAGGAGCACGAAGGUUGGCUAAUCCUGGUCGGACAUCAGGAGGUUAGUGCAAUGGCAUAAGCCAGCUUGACUGCGAGCGUGACGGCGCGAGCAGGUGCGAAAGCAGGUCAUAGUGAUCCGGUGGUUCUGAAUGGAAGGGCCAUCGCUCAACGGAUAAAAGGUACUCCGGGGAUAACAGGCUGAUACCGCCCAAGAGUUCAUAUCGACGGCGGUGUUUGGCACCUCGAUGUCGGCUCAUCACAUCCUGGGGCUGAAGUAGGUCCCAAGGGUAUGGCUGUUCGCCAUUUAAAGUGGUACGCGAGCUGGGUUUAGAACGUCGUGAGACAGUUCGGUCCCUAUCUGCCGUGGGCGCUGGAGAACUGAGGGGGGCUGCUCCUAGUACGAGAGGACCGGAGUGGACGCAUCACUGGUGUUCGGGUUGUCAUGCCAAUGGCACUGCCCGGUAGCUAAAUGCGGAAGAGAUAAGUGCUGAAAGCAUCUAAGCACGAAACUUGCCCCGAG
Molecule: ribosomal RNA, 656 nt
Filed under: Salmonella enterica subsp. enterica serovar Infantis
Lineage: Bacteria; Pseudomonadati; Pseudomonadota; Gammaproteobacteria; Enterobacterales; Enterobacteriaceae
Also listed under: 1 other name
Description: partial 23S ribosomal RNA
Rfam family: Bacterial large subunit ribosomal RNA
Source: RNAcentral